CAGUCGCCGCGGGAAUACGGAGGAUCCGAGCGUUAUCCGGAUUUAUUGGGUUUAAAGGGUGCGUAGGUGGCCUGUUAAGUCAGGGGUGAAAGACGGUAGCUCAACUAUCGCAGUGCCCUUGAUACUGACGGGCUUGAAUGGACUAGAGGUAGGCGGAAUGUGACAAGUAGCGGUGAAAUGCAUAGAUAUGUCACAGAACACCAAUUGCGAAGGCAGCUUACUAUGGUUUGAUUGACACUGAGGCACGAAAGCGUGGGGAUCAAACAGGAUUAGAUACCCCGGUAGUCCCUGUCUCUUAUAC
Molecule: ribosomal RNA, 301 nt
Filed under: uncultured bacterium
Lineage: Bacteria
Description: partial 16S ribosomal RNA
Rfam family: Bacterial small subunit ribosomal RNA
Source: RNAcentral